This 450-nucleotide ribosomal RNA is filed under the name uncultured bacterium. Its description in RNAcentral is "partial 16S ribosomal RNA". It matches the Rfam family "Bacterial small subunit ribosomal RNA", at positions 354 to 796 of the family's 1533-position model. The record is from RNAcentral.
GUAGGGAAUCUUCGGCAAUGGACGAAAGUCUGACCGAGCAACGCCGCGUGAGUGAAGAAGGUUUUCGGAUCGUAAAACUCUGUUGUUAGAGAAGAAUGUUGAUUAGAGUGGAAAAUUAAUCAAGUGACGGUAUCUAACCAGAAAGGGACGGCUAACUACGUGCCAGCAGCCGCGGUAAUACGUAGGUCCCGAGCGUUGUCCGGAUUUAUUGGGCGUAAAGCGAGCGCAGGUGGUUUAAUAAGUCUGAUGUAAAAGGCAGUGGCUCAACCAUUGUGUGCAUUGGAAACUGUUAGACUUGAGUGCAGUAGAGGAGAGUGGAAUUCCAUGUGUAGCGGUGAAAUGCGUAGAUAUAUGGAGGAACACCGGUGGCGAAAGCGGCUCUCUGGACUGUCACUGACACUGAGGCUCGAGAGCGUGGGUAGCAAACAGGAUUAGAAACCCGGGUAGUCC